UACAGAGGGUGCAAACGUUGUUCGGAAUUACUGGGCGUAAAGCGCGUGUAGGCUGCUCGGAAAGUCGGAUGUGAAAGCCCUGGGCUUAACCUAGGAAGUGCAUUCGAAACUUCCGAGCUGGAGUUCUGGAGAGGAAGGCGGAAUUCUCGGUGUAGAGGUGAAAUUCGUAGAUAUCGAGAGGAACACCGGUGGCGAAGGCGGCUCUCUGGGACGGUACUGACGCUGAGACGCGAAAGCGUGGGGAGCGAACAGG
This 253-nucleotide ribosomal RNA is filed under the name uncultured bacterium. RNAcentral's name for it is "partial 16S ribosomal RNA". It matches the Rfam family "Bacterial small subunit ribosomal RNA", at positions 524 to 776 of the family's 1533-position model. The record is from RNAcentral.